This 253-nucleotide ribosomal RNA is filed under the name uncultured bacterium. Its description in RNAcentral is "partial 16S ribosomal RNA". It matches the Rfam family "Bacterial small subunit ribosomal RNA", at positions 524 to 776 of the family's 1533-position model. The record is from RNAcentral.
UACGGAGGGUGCAAACGUUGCUCGGAAUCAUUGGGCGUAAAGCGCACGUAGGCGGACUGCUAAGUCGGACGUGAAAUCCCUCAGCUUAACUGAGGAAGUGCAUUCGAAACUAGCAGUCUUGAGUACAGGAGAGGGCCGCGGAAUUCCCGGUGUAGAGGUGAAAUUCGUAGGUAUCGGGAGGAACACCAGUGGCGAAGGCGGCGGCCUGGACUGAUACUGACGCUGAGGUGCGAAAGCGUGGGGAGCAAACAGG